AGUGAACGCUGGCGGCAGGCCUAACACAUGCAAGUCGAGCGGCAGCGCGUCCGACCACCCUCGGGUGGUCGGAUGGCGGCGAGCGGCGGACGGGUGAGGAAUGCAUCGGAAUCUGCCUCGUUGUGGGGGAUAACGUAGGGAAACUUACGCUAAUACCGCAUACGACCUACGGGUGAAAGUGGGGGACCUUCGGGCCUCACGCGAUGAGAUGAGCCGAUGCCGGAUUAGCUAGUUGGCGGGGUAAAGGCUCACCAAGGCGACGAUCCCUAGCUGGUCUGAGAGGAUGAUCAGCCGCACUGGAACUGAGACACGGUCCAGACUCCUACGGGAGGCAGCAGUGGGGAAUAUUGGACAAUGGGCGAAAGCCUGAUCCAGCCAUGCCGCGUGUGUGAAGAAGGC
Molecule: ribosomal RNA, 399 nt
Filed under: uncultured bacterium
Lineage: Bacteria
Description: bacterial SSU rRNA
Rfam family: Bacterial small subunit ribosomal RNA
Source: RNAcentral